UCAUUCUUUAACCCGAGAGAAAUCAUGCAAAAUGAACCGCUUUAAUCGAGAAGUUAACAAUAAUGAACGGGAAGUUCCGAGUUCACACUGUUAAGAAUCUAAUAAAUAAUUGGAGGCGGUAAGCAUCCAGCAUCUCUCCAUUGCGAGAAUGUACUUGGUGCCGUGAGUAACAGCUCAAAAUGUUAGUUUCGUGAAAAAAAGAGUACCAUGCCGGAUGUCCGUAUAAAAAACGAUCGGUACCAGUUCACGUGAUUGUUAAAAGAAAGGUAACUUAAAGGAAGAAGUCUCAUUGACCGGUGUGUUCAGACAGUGUGAAGUUCGAAAGUAAAAAUACACACCUUGUUCGUCAGUCUGUAAAGGUGAAACGUUCAAAACAGUGCAUUCAAGAUGAGAAUUUGGCUCCUGUUAUUGUUGCUGGUUGCUGCAGCGUCUGGAGCACCGUGGGUGGAUAUUCUUUUUGGACAACCUGAUUAUAAUUAUCGCGUUCCCAAGAAUCAGUUCAGACGGCGACAAGGAAAGGCAGGAAAAGAACGAUGGAAGGAGAUUUGUCGGACAUCGAAUCCUGAUCCUUUCGCGUUUCCAGGCCGUGCACCUUACCCUUCUGUGCCCGUGUGUCCUUGGUGAUCGAACGCGUUCAAUAAUUGGACUGUAAAGUUGCGUUAAAAAUAUGAAUUUAUUGUAACAAUAUCAGGGAAUACGAAGAUAUCCGCUGGUUAUGAGUAUUUCAGUCGGUAUACAAGUUUUACUAUUACACUAAUGACAUAAAAGUAUAUCUGUCGAUAUAAAUGAUGUAUCAAGGAUUAAAUUUGUUGAUGAUACAUUGUUUUGUACAGUGAUUGUAUUAUGUUCGCACAAUUACUCGUUGCUAUUUACUCUAUUUAAAAUUGUCGUUAAUUUUUUUUAAAUAUAUUACAGUCAGCAAG
This is a long non-coding RNA of Megachile rotundata (alfalfa leafcutting bee), 923 nucleotides long. The record is from RefSeq and is a predicted model, not a curated record. Lineage: Eukaryota; Metazoa; Arthropoda; Insecta; Hymenoptera; Megachilidae.